ACUAUUCUGUGGGGCCCGUCACCGAGUUACGAUGAUUGAGCCAACGCCGUUAAAAUGGGAGACCGAUGCCGCUUGCCAGUGCAGUUCUUCAGCGUUAAGAAUUGCCAGAGGCUGCGGCUCUUAAAGGUCACCCACCUGUAAAUGCAGGUUCAAUUACGGCUCCGGAACGACCAUCGCGGAUGUCCC
This 186-nucleotide non-coding RNA is filed under the name Blastocatellia bacterium. Its description in RNAcentral is "6S RNA". It matches the Rfam family "6S / SsrS RNA". From Rfam's summary of the family: E. coli 6S RNA was the first non coding RNA to be sequenced, but its function was unknown until recently. It consists of 184 nucleotides that fold into an extended hairpin structure with a large single-stranded internal bulge. Lineage: Bacteria; Pseudomonadati; Acidobacteriota; Blastocatellia. The record is from RNAcentral.